RNAcentral lists this long non-coding RNA (317 nucleotides) under Salmo salar (Atlantic salmon). RNAcentral's name for it is "lncRNA (ENSSSAG00000110867.1)". Lineage: Eukaryota; Metazoa; Chordata; Actinopteri; Salmoniformes; Salmonidae. The record is from RNAcentral.
CUUACACUGUUCCAAAGUGUCAUUAAAAUAAUAUUUAUAAUAACCCUCCUUUAUCCUUGUUAUUAUUAUGAUCAUCAUUAUUAUAAUAAGUAAUGUCAUUAUCAUUAGUGGUCUUAGUAUAGCAGCCUUGUAUAACCACCAUCGAGCUGUAGGCCUAAGAGCACCUCCUGGGCAGCUCCUAACCAAAAUGUCCAGUCUCGUCUCAUUGAUUCGACUCCAGCGGCUGCCAGGGGUCGAGGACGUGGAGGGAUGGGAAGAGGACAUAUUUUCCAGAAAAGGCGAUACUUUUCUACUUUCUAUAUUACAACUUGUUUUGU